This 285-nucleotide ribosomal RNA is filed under the name uncultured bacterium. RNAcentral's name for it is "partial 16S ribosomal RNA". It matches the Rfam family "Bacterial small subunit ribosomal RNA", at positions 335 to 638 of the family's 1533-position model. The record is from RNAcentral.
AGCCUACGGGAGGCAGCAGUGGGGGAUAUUGCACAAUGGGGGAAACCCUGAUGCAGCGACGCCGCGUGAGCGAUGAAGUAUUUCGGUAUGUAAAGCUCUAUCAGCAGGGAAGAAAAUGACGGUACCUGAAGAAAAAGCUCCGGCUAACUACGUGCCAGCAGCCGCGGUAAUACGUAGGGAGCGAGCGUUGUCCGGAAUUACUGGGUGUAAAGGGAGCGUAGGCGGGACGGCAAGUCAGAUGUGAAAACUGAGGGGUCAACCUUCAGACUGCAUUUUAAAAUGGUG